UCUCAAAGCACGUUGGUCGCCGCCAUUCACCGCCGCUGCCUCGCUGACACGCCCCUGCGCGAUUCAUUUUGUCGACACGCCGGCAAAAGGAAUACGAAAUUCCUGAGAAUCAAAACUGCGGUUCACGGGACAUGGCUGAAAAAUCCGGUGAUGGACCACACACACAUACGAAAGUGAAAGUGACACUAUUUUACAAUCGUCAACUGUUCUUUACUCCUACACCAAAUUACGUGGGGGGCAAGAAGACAUGAUUUGAUCCCGUCAAGAAUACACUCAAAAAUGGUUCCACCACCACGACGGAGCGCCCGUGUCAUGAGUAGAGUCAUAGAAACAUCCUCAAUAACGGCUGGAAUAAGCACAACUGGACAAGAAGCUACCUACGAUGAUCAUUGUGGACUGAUUUCGAUCCUUGAAACCCAACCGGAUCUAGAAAAUAUCACCAAACCAACGAAGGGGGAACUCCAAUUGGCAAUACAAGAGUCUACUGCCAAUGUAAGUGCUUACGAGGUGGACAAAAAUGUGGUACGAAAAGAAAAAGGGCAUUCAAUGUUGUCACAAAGAUGAAGCGCAAGAAAUAUCGGGACACAAAGGCAAGGAUACAAGCCACGGGAUGCAGCUCCCGUCAGUCCAAGCAACACGAAGCAUGGACAUGAGUCAGCAGUCAAAUGAGCACGCCACUCUUUGAAGUCAAGACUCGGGAAACCGUGGAUAAAGGCAAAAAAUUGACCGAAAUGACUGAUAGCAUAAUAUCAAAACCACCAACAAUGUUCGAGCGCGCUGAAAUGUAUCGACCGCAACGUGUUUCAGAUCCUCCCAAUUACGAUAAUGUUCUUUUUUUGGGCUUCCGGCACAUGUCCGUCAAUAAAAAUUGACACAACUUGUUGAGGAGAAUAUGGAGUUCAACAAGCGGCAUCGAAUACAGACGGGGGCAACGACAACUCGAGCAUAAAAAAUGGGCAAAUGACUUGUGUUCUAGUUUCCGUAAAAUGGUGUAUAUGGAUUGAAAUGGGCAUGGUUAGAUGUGGUUGAAUCCUGUUCUCUUUGUGUUUUUUGAUCUGAUGUCGUUGCACCGAAAUUAGGUUGUCUUCAAGUUUGAUUAGCCUAUCUAUUUUGAACAUGUUUUGUAGUUGGUGUGCUAUUUUUUUGACAUUUUGUUUAUAGUAGGUAAUGCCAAUGAUAUUACAUAAAAACAUA
Molecule: long non-coding RNA, 1194 nt
Organism: Andrographis paniculata
Lineage: Eukaryota; Viridiplantae; Streptophyta; Magnoliopsida; Lamiales; Acanthaceae
Exons: 8
Source: RefSeq, a predicted model, not a curated record